This 253-nucleotide ribosomal RNA is filed under the name uncultured bacterium. RNAcentral's name for it is "partial 16S ribosomal RNA". It matches the Rfam family "Bacterial small subunit ribosomal RNA", at positions 524 to 776 of the family's 1533-position model. The record is from RNAcentral.
UACGUAGGGGGCAAGCGUUGUCCGGAAUCAUUGGGCGUAAAGAGCGUGUAGGCGGCCCGGUAAGUCCGCUGUGAAAGUCCAGGGCUCAACCCUGGGAUGCCGGUGGAUACUGUCGGGCUCGAGUCCGGAAGAGGAGUGUGGAAUUCCUGGUGUAGCGGUGAAAUGCGCAGAUAUCAGGAGGAACACCAAUGGCGAAGGCAGCCCCCUGGGAUAACACUGACGCUCAUGCACGAAAGCGUGGGGAGCAAACAGG